UACGUAGGGGGCAAGCGUUGUCCGGAUUUACUGGGCGUAAAGAGCGUGUAGGCGGCCAGGGAGGUCCGUUGUGAAAACUCGAGGCUCAACCUCGAGACGCCGAUGGAAACCCCCUGGCUAGAGUCCGGAAGAGGAGAAUGGAAUUCCUGGUGUAGCGGUGAAAUGCGCAGAUAUCAGGAAGAACACCCGUGGCUAAGGCGGUUCUCUAGUACGGUACUGACGCUGAGACGCGAAAGCGUGGGGAGCGAACAGG
RNAcentral lists this ribosomal RNA (253 nucleotides) under uncultured bacterium. RNAcentral describes it as "partial 16S ribosomal RNA". It matches the Rfam family "Bacterial small subunit ribosomal RNA", at positions 524 to 776 of the family's 1533-position model. The record is from RNAcentral.